Molecule: non-coding RNA, 518 nt
Organism: Cinara cedri
Lineage: Eukaryota; Metazoa; Arthropoda; Insecta; Hemiptera; Aphididae
Source: the annotation of a GenBank genome assembly
CAAUAAUUGUACCUCGUAUCACGUAUCACCUGAAUAAGGUGUAAGCUGGGUCAUUCCCCCCCCCCCUUUUCUUGGUUUUUCAAAAGUUUUGAGUGAUUGUAUUACGAAAACGGAGGGGAGAAUUAUUGAGAAUUUCCAGAAAUAUUUCAAAUAAAUAAUCACCGCGUAUCUUGUAUGCGUGUAAAACGUAAUUGAUAUUUUGUCUGUAUCUUAAUCGUGUAACUACGCAUAAUAUUUAAUAACGCAUAAAAUGUAAACAUCAAGUAUCUAUUGUGUCGCAACAACUCUUGUUACAAAAUUAUAUGAUCGUGUAUGUUAUCUGGAUACUAAUUUUGAAGUAUCUUGUCCAUCCCCGACGAUGCGUGCCUAAUCAUUAUUAAUAACGCACCGCGAGUUGGAGUGUUGUUCGAAAACCGGUUGCUAUAAUAAUUUAAUAUAACAUCGGUGGCACGGCGAUAAAAAAAAAAAAAAAAAAAAUGUUCAUCAAUACUACUUUCGCGUUUAAGCCCAAAUACGGU